This 1206-nucleotide ribosomal RNA is filed under the name metagenome. Its description in RNAcentral is "bacterial SSU rRNA". It matches the Rfam family "Bacterial small subunit ribosomal RNA", at positions 298 to 1498 of the family's 1533-position model. The record is from RNAcentral.
GGACGACCAGCCACACUGGGACUGAGACACGGCCCAGACUUCUACGGGGGGCAGCAGUGGGGAAUUUUGGACAAUGGGCGCAAGCCUGAUCCAGCAAUGCCGCGUGCAGGACGAAGGCCUUCGGGUUGUAAACUGCUUUUGUACGGAACGAAACGGUCCUUUCUAAUACAAGGGGCUAAUGACGGUACCGUAAGAAUAAGCACCGGCUAACUACGUGCCAGCAGCCGCGGUAAUACGUAGGGUGCAAGCGUUAAUCGGAAUUACUGGGCGUAAAGCGUGCGCAGGCGGUUAUAUAAGACAGAUGUGAAAUCCCCGGGCUCAACCUGGGACCUGCAUUUGUGACUGUAUAGCUAGAGUACGGUAGAGGGGGAUGGAAUUCCGCGUGUAGCAGUGAAAUGCGUAGAUAUGCGGAGGAACACCGAUGGCGAAGGCAAUCCCCUGGACCUGUACUGACGCUCAUGCACGAAAGCGUGGGGAGCAAACAGGAUUAGAUACCCUGGUAGUCCACGCCCUAAACGAUGUCAACUGGUUGUUGGGUCUUCACUGACUCAGUAACGAAGCUAACGCGUGAAGUUGACCGCCUGGGGAGUACGGCCGCAAGGUCGAAACUCAAAGGAAUUGACGGGGACCCGCACAAGCGGUGGAUGAUGUGGUUUAAUUCGAUGCAACGCAAAAAACCUUACCCACCUUUGACAUGUACGGAAUCCUUUAGAGAUAGAGGAGUGCUCGAAAGAGAGCCGUAACACAGGUGCUGCAUGGCUGUCGUCAGCUCGUGUCGUGAGAUGUUGGGUUAAGUCCCGCAACGAGCGCAACCCUUGUCAUUAGUUGCUACAUUUAGGCGGGCACUCUAAUGAGACUGCCGGUGACAAACCGGAGGAAGGUGGGGAUGACGUCAAGUCCUCAUGGCCCUUAUAGGUGGGGCUACACACGUCAUACAAUGGCUGGUACAAAGGGUUGCCAACCCGCGAGGGGGAGCUAAUCCCAUAAAGCCAGUCGUAGUCCGGAUCCUAGUCUGCAACUCGACUACGUGAAGUCGGAAUCGCUAGUAAUCGUGGAUCAGAAUGUCACGGUGAAUACGUUCCCGGGUCUUGUACACACCGCCCGUCACACCAUGGGAGCGGGUUCUGCCAGAAGUAGUUAGCCUAACCGCAAGGAGGGCGAUUACCACGGCAGGGUUCGUGACUGGGGUGAAGUCGAACCAAGGUA